RNAcentral lists this ribosomal RNA (495 nucleotides) under uncultured bacterium. Its description in RNAcentral is "partial 16S ribosomal RNA". It matches the Rfam family "Bacterial small subunit ribosomal RNA", at positions 28 to 507 of the family's 1533-position model. The record is from RNAcentral.
GACGAACGCUGGCGGCGUGCCUAAUACAUGCAAGUAGAACGCUGAAGGAGGAGCUUGCUUCUCCGGAUGAGUUGCGAACGGGUGAGUAACGCGUAGGUAACCUGCCUGGUAGCGGGGGAUAACUAUUGGAAACGAUAGCUAAUACCGCAUAAGAGUAGAUGUCGCAUGACAUUUGCUUAAAAGGUGCAACUGCACCACUACCAGAUGGACCUGCGUUGUAUUAGCUAGUUGGUGAGGUAACGGCUCACCAAGGCAACGAUACAUAGCCGACCUGAGAGGGUGAGCGGCCACGCUGGGACGGGGACACGGCCCAGACUCCUGCGGGAGGCAGCAGUAGGGAAUCUUCGGCAAUGGACGGAAGUCUGACCGAGCAACGCCGCGUGAGUGAAGAAGGUUUUCGGAUCGUAAAGCUCUGUUGUAAGAGAAGAACGAGUGUGAGAGUGGAAAGUUCACACUGUGACGGUAUCUUACCAGAAAGGGACGGCUAACUACGUG